AUGAACGCUGGCGGCGUGCCUAAUACAUGCAAGCCGAGCGAACGGACGAGAAGCUUGCUUCUCUGAUGUUAGCGGCGGACGGGUGGGUAACACGUGGAUAACCUACCUAUAAGACUGGGAUAACUUCGGGAAACCGUAGCUAAUACCGGAUAAUAUUUUGAACCGCAUGGUUCAAAAGUGAAAGACGGUCUUGCUGUCACUUAUAGAUGGAUCCGCGCUGCAUUAGCUAGUUGGUAAGGUAACGGCUUACCAAGGCAACGAUGCAUAGCCGACCUGAGAGGGUGAUCGGCCACACUGGAACUGAGACACGGUCCAGACUCCUACGGGAGGCAGCAGUAGGGAAUCUUCCGCAAUGGGCGAAAGCCUGACGGAGCAACGCCGCGUGAGUGAUGAAGGUCUUCGGAUCGUAAAACUCUGUUAUUAGGGAAGAACAUAUGUGUAAGUAACUGUGCACAUCUUGACGGUACCUAAUCAGAAAGCCACGGCUAACUACGUG
Molecule: ribosomal RNA, 496 nt
Filed under: uncultured bacterium
Lineage: Bacteria
Description: partial 16S ribosomal RNA
Rfam family: Bacterial small subunit ribosomal RNA
Source: RNAcentral